Molecule: ribosomal RNA, 253 nt
Filed under: uncultured bacterium
Lineage: Bacteria
Description: partial 16S ribosomal RNA
Rfam family: Bacterial small subunit ribosomal RNA
Source: RNAcentral
UACGUAGGGUGCGAGCGUUGUCCGGAAUUAUUGGGCGUAAAGAGCUCGUAGGCGGCUUGUCGCGUCGACCGUGAAAACUCGCAGCUCAACUGCGAGCCUGCGGUCGAUACGGGCAGGCUAGAGUUCGGUAGGGGAGACUGGAAUUCCUGGUGUAGCGGUGAAAUGCGCAGAUAUCAGGAGGAACACCGAUGGCGAAGGCAGGUCUCUGGGCCGAUACUGACGCUGAGGAGCGAAAGCGUGGGGAGCGAACAGG